GGGGCUGAUUCUGGAUUCGACGGGAUUUGCGAAACCCAAGGUGCAUGCCGAGGGGCGGUUGGCCUCGUAAAAAGCCGCAAAAAAAUAGUCGAAAACGACGAAACCUACGCUUUAGCAGCUUAAUAACCUGCUUAGAGCCCUCUCUCCCUAGCCUCCGCUCUUAGGACGGGGAUCAAGAGAGGUCAAACCCAAAAGAGAUCGCGUGGAUGCCCUGCCUGGGGUUGAAGCGUUAAAACGAAUCAGGCUAGUCUGGUAGUGGCGUGUCCGUCCGCAGGUGCCAGGCGAAUGUAAAGACUGACUAAGCAUGUAGUACCGAGGAUGUAGGAAUUUCGGACGCGGGUUCAACUCCCGCCAGCUCCACCA
RNAcentral lists this transfer-messenger RNA (363 nucleotides) under Salmonella enterica. RNAcentral's name for it is "Standard tmRNA". It matches the Rfam family "transfer-messenger RNA". Rfam says of the family: Bacterial tmRNA, also known as 10Sa RNA or SsrA, is named for its dual tRNA and mRNA-like properties. Its role is to liberate the mRNA from a stalled ribosome. To accomplish this part of the tmRNA is used as a reading frame that ends in a translation stop signal. The record is from RNAcentral. Lineage: Bacteria; Pseudomonadati; Pseudomonadota; Gammaproteobacteria; Enterobacterales; Enterobacteriaceae.